Molecule: ribosomal RNA, 254 nt
Filed under: uncultured bacterium
Lineage: Bacteria
Description: partial 16S ribosomal RNA
Rfam family: Bacterial small subunit ribosomal RNA
Source: RNAcentral
UACGGAGAGUGCAAGCGUUGUUCGGAAUUAUUGGGCGUAAAGCGCGUGUAGGCGGUCCAUCAAGUCUGGCGUGAAAGCCCGGGGCUCAACCCUGGAAGUGCGCUGGAAACUGACGGACUUGAGUACUGGAGGGGAAGGUGGAAUUCUCGAGUGUAGAGGUGAAAUUCGUAGAUAUUCGGAAGAACAUCAGUGGCGAAGGCGACCUUCUGGACAGAUACUGACGCUGAGACGCGAAAGCAUGGAAAGCAAACAGG